AUGGCGCAACAAAGUGGUUCUACCAGGCAGCCCUUCCUCCCAUAUGCAGGAAUCAUUCGAGAUCGUUGUCCAAUCGUAGGUCUGAGAUGGAAGAGGGUGAUGGAUUUCUUUUGCACCAGGGAUGAGCUCUUGCUGGCCAAGUGCAAGGAGAUAUACUCUUGGUUUCCUAGUGUGAAAUAUCUCGUGAUGCACUCGCUGGGCUUGACAUUGGAAGUAACAAGUGAUGAGCAGAAGCGGGUACUUCCUAAAGGCAAGGGGGCAGUCCCAAUUGAGAUUCUCAUGUGGGCAUUGGCAGAGGCGAUGGUGUCUCUGGAUCAUCGGCAACGAGCCCGUUGGUACAAGUACCGCUCUCGCCUCUCGUUGUCGAACCCAGAGGUGGAAAGGCCGGUGAAUUUGCAUAUUAUUCAGGUCAUCGACAAGGAGACGGAGGAGGACGAUAGCGACGAGGAGGAUGUAGAAGAGGAGAGCUAUUAG
This 474-nucleotide ribosomal RNA is filed under the name Triticum aestivum (bread wheat). RNAcentral describes it as "partial small subunit ribosomal RNA". The record is from RNAcentral. Lineage: Eukaryota; Viridiplantae; Streptophyta; Magnoliopsida; Poales; Poaceae.